UGGCUCAGAUGGUAAAGCGUCUGCCUAAAAUGUAGGAGACCCAGGUUCAAUUCCUGG
This 57-nucleotide transfer RNA is filed under the name Bos taurus (domestic cattle). It matches the Rfam family "tRNA", at positions 8 to 63 of the family's 71-position model. Rfam says of the family: Transfer RNA (tRNA) molecules are approximately 80 nucleotides in length. The record is from Rfam by way of RNAcentral. Lineage: Eukaryota; Metazoa; Chordata; Mammalia; Artiodactyla; Bovidae. RNAcentral also lists the same sequence under 2 other names.